This 420-nucleotide ribosomal RNA is filed under the name uncultured eukaryote. RNAcentral describes it as "eukaryotic LSU rRNA". It matches the Rfam family "Eukaryotic large subunit ribosomal RNA", at positions 1239 to 1632 of the family's 3401-position model. The record is from RNAcentral.
AGCUGGACGGUGGCCAUGGAAGUCGGAAGCCGCUAAGAAGUGUGUAACAACUUACCAGCCGAAUGGAUUAGCCCUGAAAAUGGAUGGCGCUAAAGCAUAUUACUUAUACUCAACCUUUGGGAAGUAAUAAGAAUAAUUUCCCAAAGAGUAGCGGGGCGUGGAGUCAGUUUAGAAAUCGUUACUUGUAAAAGUAGAUGGAACUAACUCUAGUGCAGAUCUUGGUGGUAGUAGCAGUUAAUCAAGCGAGAACCUUGAUGACUGAAGUGGAGAAAGGUUUCCUAUGAACAGCAAUUGGAUAGGAGUUAGUCGAUCCUAAGGUCUAACUUAAUUGUGAUGUUAAUGUUGUUUAAAGAAAAUUUAAUUAAUUUCUUGAAUCUUGACCAAAAGGGUAAUUGGGUUAAUAUUCCAAUACCAAGAUAG